Nannospalax galili (Upper Galilee mountains blind mole rat) is the source of this 3436-nucleotide long non-coding RNA. RefSeq lists it as uncharacterized. The record is from RefSeq and is a predicted model, not a curated record. The transcript is spliced from 3 exons. NCBI's taxonomy places the organism in Eukaryota, Metazoa, Chordata, Mammalia, Rodentia, Spalacidae.
AGGCAGAGAAAGACAGUGAGCUCACCUACCUGUUCCAGCCCAGGGCAUCUUUCCCCUGGUCUCCAUUCCCCCCAACCCUAGUCUGGGUCCAGUGGAAACUGGGAAGGGAAUGGGAUGGAACCCUUGGGUCCUGUCACAAUAGGCCUUGGAGACAUUUAGGGCUAAGCAAAACACAUCCUCUGGCUCAGGCAGGGUCCCAGGCCGACCCUAGGAACCCCCCUCUCCAUCAGAGCCCAGGCGGUCUGCCAGGUGGCUGUGCUCUGCUCAUCCUCUUGAACUCCAGGUAAAGCCAAGGAGAGACAUUCCAGACAACAGCAGAGAAGGGCAGGGAUGGCAGGGGCCUAUGUGUAGAAAGAAUGGGGCCUGCCCGGCAGGGAGGCCAUGGGUGGGCAGAGCCUGGGGAUCCGCUGACUUUGGGGAGCCAGCAGGCUGGUGCUGGUGUGGUGGGGGGACCUCAGGUGUGAGAGGGAAAGGGCGGGGACCUGAGGCCUUACCUUGUAGAGACCGGCAUUGUAAGAGAUUAGAAAUGCUUGCAAAAGUGUAAGCUAAUGGAAUCAGAUACACUUCUAGUGCAAAAGUAAAAAAAUAAAAAAUAAAAAAAGGAAAAAUAAGAAAAUAAAGAAAUGAAGGCCCUUUUCAUAAGGAGAGAGAUCUAAGCGCACUAAAAAUGAUGCAUGGACCAUGUAGUUUGGACAUGGAGUUAAUCAAACAGAACAGAAGUGUGUGAGCAUGAGGCCUGCAUGCAUGCAGCAGUGGACACCAAGGAAAGGUCCUGGUGGGAAAGAAGAACUGAACAAAAGAUCCGUACUUGAAAAUGUGCCUCCCUCGGGACCUGGAAGGGCCAGGCCUUCACGGGAGUAGGGAGCCGAGACCUUACCUCCAGAUUUCCAUUCCAAGGGCAGGCAAAAGAAGGUUUUGUGGCUGUGCCUCUGACUACCACUUGCUCAGCUGACCUGGGUGUUCCCUAGUCAGUCUAGACCAGCAGAAAGUGUACAACACUUUCAAGUGUGAGAGACAGGCCCCAGUGCCCUACUCCCUGCACUUCAAGUCCUGGCUUCCUCUCUCACCUUGGCCCCGCCCACGGUCAGCAAGCGAGAUGGCCUGAACAUGCACUCUGCCCUGAGCCUUGUGCAUUAAAGCCGUUUCCUUAUCCUGCAGACUCGUGGCUCCUUAAGCAGAGGUGAUAUGACUGUCAGGAGCAUCCCUGAGUGUUUUCAUAAGGCUCCACGCCACUGAAGUAUGCUCAUUUUAGUGAGCUUGCCAACCUUCCAAGUAGUCCUAAGGGAGGUCAAAGGCUGUGGUACCAGGGAGGGAGGACAUGCAUGUUAUAAGGCUUGCUCCAAACUCUGAAGAAUGACCUGCCAGUGAGGGUCUUCCAGACCUCCACUUUAUGCAACCUGUGUGUCUGGACAUUGAAAGCUAGCCUCUGAAUCCAGUGUAGAAAGUGGCCAAUAAGCCAGCCAGGAAACCAAAAGGCUGCUUUGAUUGUGAGAACAAAUUCAAAGGGGUUCCUAUGGUCCAAUGCCUAUUCCAAAGUGCUCCUGGACUUCUCACAUGUCAUUUCAGGGAUCUGGGGAGUCCAAAGCAAGGGUAGGAACCCAUGCUCUAGAAUUUUCUGAUAUUAUCACUGUCUGACCUUCCUAGUCUUUACUGAAGAACAAGUUUAGGACUAAACCUUAGAAGGAGCCAAUGAGGCCCCAGACCCUUGGGAACAGGGCCAUUCCCAGCCUUCACUUGCUGGGUCUCUUUAAAGGGACAAGUCUGGAUGCUAUUAAUCCAGGUCACCCCAAAGCCAGUUCCUGACACCCAACAAUCUGCAUUGUCUCAAAACUGCAGCUCAAGCUUUGCACCAUCAACACUGCAAAAUAAGCUGGGUGUGCCUGUGAAGCCGCAGAGGAUCCCAUUUUGAACCCCGAGUGGUUGGCUGUGUCAGCCUUCCAGAUGAGAGCUCUUCCAGCCCACAUAACUGGGUGAUUAUGAAAUGCCAGCAGUGGGCUCUGAAAAUGAGUUGGAGGCCCAUCUAAUGACCAUCUGAAGCUCCGAAGCCUGAGACAGACAGCAAGCUCUGAGGGGUGUGGGACAGUAAUGAUUCCCUGAAGUCCACGGAGCAACUGUGGUGCAAGACCCAAAGCUGGGAAUAUGCAGCUCUCCUCUCUGGCCCAUUCCAGGCCGCAAGUGGGAGUUAUGAACCCCGCCUUGUUGGAUCACGCACGUUCCUGAGCUUGUCUGGGACUCUGUAGCACCGAGCAGCAGGGAGAGCCGACUCCACCUCAGGCUGCAUGCUGAUCCCUAGCCAACAUGUGCUGCACAGCUUUCUGAGGGCCGGGCCUCCAGGCGCUGUGUUUCCUGGGACAGUGCUUACCCACUAAGAUGGCAGUCUAAUGGGGUAAGUGAAAGAGAAACAGGUCUGAACUUUGCUGUGAUGGAGAAUUGCUGAGGGCCACAGGACAGAACAAGAGGCCACAGAGCCUUGCUCAGGCUUCACUCAGGAGGUGAAAAGAGCAGGUGAGCUGGAGAAGUGUGGCCUUACUAGCAGCCUCCCUCUGUCCCUGGACUUCCCUAAGUAGAUUCCUCUGCCCAUAUUCCCUACUCAGGACAGCCUGGAAGCACCUGGGCACUGUGUGGGCCGCAGAGCCGGGGAUCACUCCCUUGUGCAGUUUGGUACCCUGUCGUCUUCAACCAGCCCAGCAGGGGCAGCCUUUGGAGGCUGUACUUUAUUUCAUGUUUGGCAAUGACCUUUCCACCUUUGCUGCCAGAGGAGGGGAUGCCGAUGCCACAGGUACCACUGCAGACACAUUGCCCAGGCACAAGCAAAGACUGAGGAUGAAGUCACAGAGAGGAAGGGAAGAGAGGAAAGACAGGUGGGACAUGCCAGAAAAAAGGGACAGGGCGGCUCGUAUUCUAAAGAGUGUCAGGCCUAGAACUGCAGGUGAUGAUCCAGUGCUGGUGACCGUCCUCUCUGCAGCAACUAACUAUGCCCAGCUCACGCCCUCCAGCUCUCCAUUCUGUUUACACACUUGUCAGCUGGUGAGCACCUGGGCUGUUUCCACAUUAGGGUUGCUAUGAAAGCUGGUGCUCAUAAACAGGGUGCUUGAGGAACAACUGAUGGGACCGGACCUACAGGAGACUAAAGGGGACCCCUACCAGGAAGGCUUAUCUAGCUGCAGAUAACUUCAGGGAAAAGCAAAUGCAAAGGUCCUGAGGCACAAGUGGGCCAGGCUCGUUCAAAGAUGAGCAAAGAGGUGGGUGGUUGAGGUGGACGAGUGAGUGAGGGAAGACAUGGUGAGUUUAUAAGGGACUGAAAGCCAGAGGCCAGCGUGGAGUGGCCUGCUGUGAGCGUAGGCCUGCUGCCCCUGGCCACAUUGGGAGAUGUGGGAGGACUCUAAUAUCUCAUAUCAUUCUCAGGCAGACAGUCAUCUGCGCUGCUUGCCCCAUG